CCUUGGCCGCGCCUGCGCACUGGGCCUGCAAGGUCGCGCUCUCCGAGACUGCCUGGGACUCUGCAAGAGUUCGUCUGAAGUCGGCCUAGCCCUUCUGGCAGUUCUCGAACAGCUCCGAUGCCGCCGGGGUUCUGACGGGGGUGCACGAGAGCAGGAUACGAUCGUCUCAGUCUCCGACGCCGAAGGAACGAGAAGCGAACUUCACGCGAGGUUUCGGAACUGUCGCGAGAAUCAGAAUGGGAAACGUAAUCCUUGGCUUGAAGGACAGGUGAAAUGAACAGAAUUGCAGGAUGUCCAGGAUAAGGCCGGGGUAGGUCCUGCCUAUCGGAGGAACGGAGCCACCGACCGAGCUGUGAUGACACAACGCUGUGGGGGCGGAGAUACCGAGCCGGAGCCGUCAGGGAGCUCUUAAUAGCUUUGAGCUUCCGAGGCUUGAAGUCAUUAAAUAAAAUAACCAAUCCACGGA
This is a long non-coding RNA of Nannospalax galili (Upper Galilee mountains blind mole rat), 466 nucleotides long. RefSeq lists it as uncharacterized. The record is from RefSeq and is a predicted model, not a curated record. Lineage: Eukaryota; Metazoa; Chordata; Mammalia; Rodentia; Spalacidae. The transcript is spliced from 2 exons.